Molecule: ribosomal RNA, 365 nt
Filed under: Olea europaea subsp. europaea
Lineage: Eukaryota; Viridiplantae; Streptophyta; Magnoliopsida; Lamiales; Oleaceae
Description: LSU_rRNA_archaea
Rfam family: Bacterial large subunit ribosomal RNA
Source: RNAcentral
CAAAAAAACAUAAGGGUUCCUCCGCAAGGUUCAUUCAUGGAGGGUGAGUCAUGGUCUAAAAUCAAGUCGAAAGUCAUAGUCGAUGGACAACAAGUGAAUAAUCAUAUACUACCCCUUGUUGGUCUUGAUGGACGGAAGAAGCUCGGUUAGCCGAAAACUGAUUAUCGAUUCAGGAACGUAAGGUGCCCCUAUUUUUUCAGGGUAAGAAGGGGUAGAGAAAAUGUCUCAAGCCAAUGUUCGAGCACAAGGCGCUACAGCAUUGAAGUCACCCACGUCAUAUUCCUAGGGAAAGCUCGAAUGACCUUUAAACAAAAGGGUAUAUGUACCGGAAAUCGACAUAGGUGGGUAGGUAGUGAAUACCUAGG